UAGGGUUUUGCAUUUCCUGGUUCGCCAUUGCCUUCGAUUUUAGGGUUUACAGUCUCUGAUUGGAUUUGGAGUGUAAUAACUCUGCUGAGUCGAUUAACGUUGUCGGGAUUUGCGUGGUUCGAAGAUGUACAGCGGCUCUAGCGAUGGCGAGAGCCUCGACACCUCGACGCAGAGGAAGAUUCCGCCGGCGUCUUCCAUGCUUUGGGUUAGAAAUUUACGGCCGUACAUGGUCCGGUACUGGACUCGGAUACGAAGCUCUAAUGGGAACAUAUAUACAUGGCAAUGCUUGCUUGUAUUGAUUCUCCCCCCUGAUAUAUGUGUCAGGAAAGUGAGGAAGAAGUCACCGACACCGAACAGGCAGAGAAUUGGUUCUCUUUGACGUCAGCUCAACGCAUAUGCAAUAUGUUUCUGACAUUUGAUAAAGAUAUGAAUGGAUCACUGAGUAAGCAAGAGCUCGAAGAAUAUGCUGCUGAUGGGACAUUGGCUGAGAUUUUCAUCGAAAGAGUGUUCGAUGAGCAUUGUCCGGCAUGGCAAGAGUAGCGGAGGACAUUCCCGAGAGAUGGUUUUUUAGAGUUUCCUCAACUUUGUUCUUGCUCUGGAGAAUAAAGACAUUCCAGAGAGUUUAUGUCUGUUCCGCUGUCUCGAUCUCCAUGGGAGGGGCUUUUUCACUACUGAUAUUCACUCUCUUUUCAGAGACGUUCAUCAGAAAUGGACCAAGGGUGGGUGGAAACUACAAGCUGUGCAUAGAGGAUGUAAGGGACGAGAUCUGGGACAUUGUGAAGCCUGUGGACCCGUUAAAGAUCACGUUGGCGUGUAAACAGGGUGGGACAGUGGCGAGCAAGCUGAUAGACACGAAGGGUUUCUGGGCUCACGACAACUGGGACGAGGAGGAACAACCCCCCCCCCCCCCCCCCGG
Molecule: long non-coding RNA, 916 nt
Organism: Tarenaya hassleriana
Lineage: Eukaryota; Viridiplantae; Streptophyta; Magnoliopsida; Brassicales; Cleomaceae
Exons: 5
Source: RefSeq, a predicted model, not a curated record